GUGUCAGCCGCCGCGGUAAGACAGAGGGUGCAAACGUUGCUCGGAAUUACUGGGCGUAAAGCGCGUGUAGGCGGACUGGUGUGUCGGAUGUGAAAUCCCCAGGCUCAACCUGGGAACUGCAUUCGAAACUGCCAGCCUUGAGUGGUGGAGAGGGAAGUGGAAUUCCUGGUGUAGAGGUGAAAUUCGUAGAUAUCAGGAGGAACACCAGUGGCGAAGGCGGCUUCCUGGACACCAACUGACGCUGAGACGCGAAAGCGUGGGGAGCAAACAGGAUUAGAUACCCGGGUAGUCC
This 292-nucleotide ribosomal RNA is filed under the name uncultured bacterium. RNAcentral describes it as "partial 16S ribosomal RNA". It matches the Rfam family "Bacterial small subunit ribosomal RNA", at positions 505 to 796 of the family's 1533-position model. The record is from RNAcentral.